Molecule: long non-coding RNA, 450 nt
Filed under: Musa acuminata (dwarf banana)
Lineage: Eukaryota; Viridiplantae; Streptophyta; Magnoliopsida; Zingiberales; Musaceae
Description: long non-coding RNA (MACU_LNC001562)
Source: RNAcentral
GAUGGAUUUGGGAACGGUGGCAUCGAUGAGGGCGUCAAGAGAACCGAAGCCGCAGGAUGCGGCCAUGGUGGACUGGUCGUCGGGCGUGGCGGAGUUAUGGCGGCGGGGGAACGUGUCAGAGGGGCGGAGGGCGUCGACGGAGAUGGAGCGGUACUGGCCAUUACGGAGCAGGGAGUCGGCAGCGGCGGGUGGGCGGAGGAGGGAGUUGCCGGUAGGGAAGACAGAGGACGAGGCGAGGGAGGAGAGGUGGCGGGUUGUGGCAGGCGUCGGCGCCGACGAAUUCGUCUGGGAGAUCAGGCGUCGGAGAAUUCCCCGGCUCGCCAACUUUCGAGCGCGCUCCAUUGGAAACCUAACAAACACCAACAAAGAUCUCUGCUUUACACCGAACACUCCCCAAAAAAGUCACUUCUUUACGCCAACGAACCCCUAAAGAGCUGUUUUUUCAAUUCA